CUUGCGGAGGUAGAGCACUGAAUUGCCUAGGGGGCGUCAAAGCUUACCAAAGCAUAUCAAACUCCGAAUGCCAUCAAGAUGAUUCAUGGGAGUCAGACCAUACGAGAUAAGUUGGAUGGUCAAAAGGGAAAGAGCCCAGACCUACAGCUAAGGUCCCAAAGUGCGUGUUAAGUGGAAAAGGAUGUGGGGAUUCUAAGACAACUAGGACGUUGGCUUAGAAGCAGCCAUUCAUUGAAAGAGUGCGUAAUAGCUCACUAGUCGAGAGUCCCUGCGCCGAAAAUGUCCGGGGCUGAAACACGACACCGAAGCUUAGGAAUGUGUAAACAUUGGUAGAGGAGCAUUGCUGGCGGGAUGAAGCCAUACCGUAAGGAGUGGUGGACUGCCAGGAAGAGAGAAUGCCGGAAUGAGUAGCGAGAUGAAGGUGAGAAUCCUUCAGGCCGAAUAUCUAAGGUUUCCAGAGUAAAGCUGAUCUGCUCUGGGUAAGUCGGGACCUAAGGCGAGGUCGAAAGACGUAGUCGAUGGAUAACAGGUUGAAAUUCCUGUACCGCAUAUAAACAGAACUGUGGGGACACAGACAGGGAAUGGAAUCCGGGAAUGGAUAUCCCGGUGCAAGCGAGGUAGGAGUGCUGUUGGCAAAUCCGCAGCACGAUCUGAAGACGUGACGCGUACCGAACAUAAGUAGGGAAGUCCAGGCCCCUGGCUGUCAAGAAAAGCCGCUAUUGUUUUAUAUGUGCCCGUACCGCAAACCGACACAGGUGGAUGAGGAGAGAAUCCUAAGGCCGACGGGAGAAGUAUUGUUAAGGAACUCGGCAAAAUGACUCCGUAACUUCGGGAGAAGGAGUGCCAUGAGAGUGGCCGCAGAGAAAUGGCCCAAGCAACUGUUUAGCAAAAACACAGGUCUAUGCAAAACCGCAAGGUGAAGUAUAUGGGCUGACGCCUGCCCGGUGCUGGAAGGUUAAGGGGAGAGGUUAGCGCAAGCGAAGCUUUGAACUUAAGCCCCAGUAAACGGCGGCCGUAACUAUAACGGUCCUAAGGUAGCGAAAUUCCUUGUCGGGUAAGUUCCGACCCGCACGAAAGGCGUAAUGAUUUGGGCACUGUCUCAACGAUACACCCGGUGAAAUUGAAAUACCAGUGAAGAUGCUGGUUACCUGCGCCAGGACGGAAAGACCCCAUGGAGCUUUACUCCAGUUUGAUACUGGGAUUCGGCAUGGUAUGUACAGGAUAGGUGGGAGACUGAGAAGGUAUGACGUCAGUUGUACCGGAGUCGCUGUUGGGAUACCACCCUUACCAUGUUGGAUUUCUAACCUGUGGCCGUAAGCCGGUCAGGGGACAAUGUCAGGCGGGGAGUUUGACUGGGGCGGUCGCCUCCGAAAGGGUAUCGGAGGCGCUCAAAGGUUCCCUCAGAAUGGUUGGAAACCAUUCGAAGAGUGCAAAGGCAGAAGGGAGCUUGACUGCGACACCGACGGGUGGAGCAGGUACGAAAGUAGGACUUAGUGAUCCGGUGGUAUAA
RNAcentral lists this ribosomal RNA (1510 nucleotides) under human gut metagenome. RNAcentral's name for it is "bacterial LSU rRNA". It matches the Rfam family "Bacterial large subunit ribosomal RNA", at positions 893 to 2431 of the family's 2925-position model. The record is from RNAcentral.